UAUCUCUGUAGAGUCUGCAUAUCAAUAAGCGGAGGAAAAGAAACUAACAAGGAUUCCCCUAGUAACGGCGAGUGAAGCGGGAAGAGCUCAAAUUUGAAAUCUUCAAGGUUCUACCUUGACGAAUUGUAGUUUAAAGAAGUGUUUUCGGUUAGAGGAGUUUAGUAAAAGUUCUUUGGAAUAGGACAUCAUAGAGGGUGAGAAUCCCGUAUUUGACCAUUAUUUCCAACUUUGUGAUACACUUUCAAAGAGUCGGAUUGUUUGGGAAUGCAGUCCAAAAUGGGUGGUAAAUUUCAUCUAAAGCUAAAUACUGGCGAGAGACCGAUAGCGAACAAGUACCGUGAGGGAAAGAUGAAAAGAACUUUGAAAAGAGAGUUAAACAGUACGUGAAAUUGUCAAAAGGGAAGCGUUUGACACCAGUGUUGUUUUCUCGAAAAUCAAUUAAGAAUGCUGUAUUUUGAUGUGAGUAUUGACUUUAUCAGGCUUGCUGCACUUUAUUCCUGUAACUUUUUUAAUGCACUUUUCGGUUAACAAGUCAACAUCAAUUUCUUUUGUUGUAAAAGGGUCAUGAGGAAGGUGGCUUUCUUUUCGGAGAAAGUGUUUAUAGCCUUUGUACUUCUGCAAUCGGAGAGAUUGAGGUCUGCAGCGUAGAUCCUUCGGGGUUAGAUACAUUUGUGCUAAGUUAUAGCCUUUUCAUAGACAACUUGUUGACUAUGAUCAGUCAUGUAGCUUACUCGCUUAUGUGCUAUUUUACCUACGCUUAGGAUGUUGAGUAGCGACAUACGCAC
This 785-nucleotide ribosomal RNA is filed under the name uncultured Neocallimastigales. RNAcentral describes it as "partial large subunit ribosomal RNA". It matches the Rfam family "Eukaryotic large subunit ribosomal RNA", at positions 24 to 649 of the family's 3401-position model. The record is from RNAcentral. Lineage: Eukaryota; Fungi; Neocallimastigomycota; Neocallimastigomycetes; Neocallimastigales.